Molecule: ribosomal RNA, 261 nt
Filed under: uncultured bacterium
Lineage: Bacteria
Description: partial small subunit ribosomal RNA
Rfam family: Bacterial small subunit ribosomal RNA
Source: RNAcentral
AGGACGAACGCUGGCGGCGUGCUUUAACACAUGCAAGUCGAGCGGAAAGGCCCUUCGGGGUACUCGAGCGGCGAACGGGUGAGUAACACGUGAGCAAUCUGCCCUUAGCUUCGGGAUAGCCCCGGGAACCGGGAUUAAUACCGAAUACGACCUCGGCCGACAUCGGCUUUGGUGGAAAGUUUUUUCGGCUAGGGAUGAACUCGCGGCCUAUCAGCUUGUUGGUGGGGUAAUGGCCUACCAAGGCGACGACGGGUAGCCCGG